AACAGUUCUGCUUCUGUGAGCCAGGUGGAGAAGAGACGGUAGGACCAGAGAAGUAGUGUUGGAAGUGAGCAUUUCUAGGUGCAGACGAGGCAUUUGGGGCAUAGAAGAUCACACUCUUCUUCCGCCAUGUCUUAAGAUAUUACUUUAUAGUAAUUUAUCUUAGUCCAGGUGCAGUGCCUCACACCUGUAAUCCCAGCACUUUGGAAGGCUGAGCUGGGAGGAUUGCUUGAGGCUGGCAGUUCAAGACUUCUUCCAUUUUAAGGGGCCUUGUGAUUACAGCUGGUCCAUCUGGAUAUUCUAAGAUAUUCUCCCUAUUUUAAGGAGAGAAAUCUGAAAUCUGAGGUGCAGUUGAUUUGAAUCCAGGAAAUCUAAGGAAAAAGUUCAAGCUCUUAAUCAUUUCAUACCCUUCUUGUUGCUAACUUAAACUUUUUUUUUAAAAAAGUUAAUCUUGUCUAUGAAGCAUGAAUCUAUAAUACUAGGGAAAAAACUGGCUAACUUGAAGAAAAAAUAAAUUGAAAUGAAAAGCAAUUAAUUCCUCUUAAUAUGAAUAAAGGAUGAUCUAAAUGC
Long non-coding RNA from Homo sapiens (human), 567 nucleotides. RefSeq annotates it as long independently transcribed non-coding RNA 379. The record is from RefSeq and is marked validated. The transcript is spliced from 4 exons. Lineage: Eukaryota; Metazoa; Chordata; Mammalia; Primates; Hominidae.